CCACCCUCCUGUUCAUGGGAGAAUCCUAUUGGUCACCCAGACUCACAGCUGUGCAUUCGAUCCAUGCUCAUCACCGAGGCUAACCCAGUCCUUGAUUCCAAUCAUGAAUGGACAAACGUUUUCCAGAUAUUUAAGGAAAGUGAGGAAGAUGCACAAAUAGAACUAAUUCUGGAGGAGGGAAAAAGAGGAUAUAAUACAGGAAACAGAAAAAAACGUUACCAGAACAUACUCUCAGAGUUUAAGAAAGACAAGAGGUUUAUAAAAUGAGAACAAGCUGUCAUAGAGGGGAAUAAUCAGGGGGCAGACGAAAAAGUCCUUGGACACUAGAAAAGUUACUGCAGAAUUGACAUCACGCAGUGGACUGACAGUGCCUAGUUCCCUGGGCUGCCCACGGAACUCAGUGUGCCCCCCCUCGCCACCACCACCAUCCACCCGACGGCGCGCGCCCCUCCACCCAUACGGGUCCCCACAGCCCACUUCCGGUCCCUUCGCAGACCCUGUGGCAACCACCACCGCCUGGUCCCGAGGACCCUGCCCUCCACUGGUCGCCUCCGUCGUCCACCAUGUUGUGCUCAGAGGCACCCGCCGCGGCCGCCACUGCCGAUGCCGAUGCCGCCGCCCGCUUCGGGACCCUAGCGACCACACCGCUUUACCCUGCCUGCUCCUCGCGCCCGCACUGCCCGCCCUGGGCCCGCUGUCGCAGGUGCACCAGAACAACCAUCUCAGCUGCGAGGUCGCCAUCAACAUCAAGGUCACCCUGGAGCUCCACGCCUCCUAUGUGUACCUGUCCAUGGCCUUCUUCUUCGACCGGGACGACGUGGCCCUGGAGAGCUUCAGCCGCUAUUUCUUGCACCAGUGGCACGAGAAGAGGGAGCACGCCCAGGAGCUGAUGAGCCUGCAGAACCUGCGCGGUGGCCGCAUCUACCUUCGCGACAUCAGGAAGCCAGAGUGCCAAGGCUGGGAGAGCGGGCUCCAGGCCAUGGACUGCGCCUUCUACCUGGAGAAGAACGUCAACCAGAGCCUCCUGGAGCUGCACCAGCUGGCCAAGGAGAACGACGACCCCACCUCUGUGACUUCCUGGAGAACCACUUCCUGAACCAGCAGGCCAAGACCAUCAAAGAGAUUGGUGGCUACCUGAGCAACCUGUGCAAGAUGGGGGCCCCGGAAGCAGGCCUGGCAGAGUACCUCUUUAACAAGCUCACCCUGGGCCGCAGCCAGAAACACACCAGAGCCCAGACAGGUCCCGCAGCCACGGGGUGCCUUCCCCUGCUCGCGCCACCACGCGGGGCGUCCAUGUUGUCCUUUCAGAACAUUCUCUUCAGUUUUCUCCUCUCAGUUUUACUGUUGUUGGCAAUAAAGUUAUCUGUUCUCAAAGCAAUAAAGGUGUCCAGCUGAUGCAUAUCUGCAACACUCUCACCUUUUAGGAAUCAGGGCACAUCCCCAUGCAGGUUUAAAGUAGGUAUCCAGCAGUCUUUCCAUUCAGCCCUGCCCCAUCUGCAUGCAGCUCAGGAUCUGCGGGGGUGGAGGGGAAAGGUAUUUUAUGGGCCGCUGGAAAAUACAUUAGUCUUCCCCUUAUAAACUUUGAGGGCAUGUGGGAUUGGAUGGGGUGAGGUGGGGUGG
This 1620-nucleotide long non-coding RNA is filed under the name Homo sapiens (human). Its description in RNAcentral is "non-protein coding lnc-PRRG1-1:1". Lineage: Eukaryota; Metazoa; Chordata; Mammalia; Primates; Hominidae. The record is from RNAcentral.